Molecule: long non-coding RNA, 2031 nt
Organism: Pangasianodon hypophthalmus (striped catfish)
Lineage: Eukaryota; Metazoa; Chordata; Actinopteri; Siluriformes; Pangasiidae
Exons: 3
Source: RefSeq, a predicted model, not a curated record
AUGGCAGUUGAGAAAAUAUUUAUUUUGGAGUGUUGAUUUUAUUAUAUUCUGUAAUUUUUUAUAUGAUUGAUAUAUGUAAUUUUUAUUUCACUUUAUAAUUAUGCACAGUUCUUUGUUUUAUAACCAAAACGCAGAAAAAUGCCCAGUGUGUGGACAGGUUUCUUUCACUACUCUGCCAAACUGUGAGGGUUUGAAAUGAAUUGCUACCCCUGACUGCCAGACUGGGUUCAGAAUUUUCCAACCAAAACACUGUCAAGUGAAGGCCCAGUGCUGGUCCACACAUACCAUCUUCAUCCGACCUACAGAAGGAAUGGUGGAAAUGAGUUCAUCCGAAUCUGGCUGCCAUGACACCACCUCAAUGGUUGUGGUGGCUCCAGAGCGGGAACACUGGGUGCAGGGUAAGGACACAGCCUAGACGAGAUGCCAGUCUAUCGCAGAGCAUGCCGAAAAGGCCACGAAACCCUAAAAUGAAAACACUCUGGGCUGUCUGAAGAGCUGAGUCACUGUGUGUCUUCAGACGAAGACUGAAGACGUUCCUCUUCACUAAACACUUAAACAAGCACUAAAUCUACACUGCUUGUUUAAAUAAAAAACACUUGUGCUGUUUUCUUUGCUGCUAUGUAAAAGAGUUUUAGCCUUAUGGUAUUCUUGAAUACUGACCUAUUUGUACUAGUGUGAGGACAUCGUUUUCAACAGGGACUACAAAACACUUCUGGAAGUCUCUCUGGAUAAGGGUGUUGUAGAUGUUGCUGCUUACAUCUGGGUGACUUUUGACCCACAAAAACCUCGUCAUAGGCUUGACUGGCGCUUAUGUGCCUAAACCCAAAUAUAUUGAUAUGUAUAAUUUUCUUCUUUUUCUGAUUGAAGUGGCCACAUGAAGUCUCUGAGCUCAGAACAGUAUUUCUGACUGUAUAUGAAUAUAGUAUGAAGCUUUCACACACAUGUUCUUACACAGUGGCACCAUCAUCUGUCCACAAAAGGAAUUACAGAUGGUAGGAAAGUAGGUAACCAGCCACUUUCCCAGCCUUGCCAUGCAAUACUUAUUUUAAUCUGUUUUCCUGGUGCAUCGUAUCCGAAUUAACUCAUCAUUACUAACCUCUUCAUGAAUGUUAGAGCAGGUCACAUUAAAAAUGUACAAUGUGUUGGGACUACAGAAAUCGGAAACACCUUUAUUUGUCACAUACAUUAUAGUGAAAUUAUUUUCUUUGCCUAGCCCAGCUUGUUCAGAAGUUGGGGUUAGAGCACAGGGUCAGCCAUGAUGUGGUGCCCAGCAGUGGCAGCUUGGCAGAGCCGGGGCUUGAACUCCUACCUUCUGCUCAGUAACCCAGAGCCUUAGCCACUGAGCCACAACUGCCCUGAGACCCCAGCAGCCAGCUGCACCAGCUGAACAUAAAUCUGAUUGUAAGACACUUAAGGUACAUCAUAACUAGUCAUGAGUAAGUGAUCGUAAUCAAAGUUAUGUGAUUUGGCAUCACCAGCCAAUCUGAAACAUGAUCUGACAUAAAGUAAAGCAAAUUCUUCAUCUCUUGUAACUUAACCUGCGUUUGAAAACACUGAAAGAUAUAACAAAUAUAGCUUUACAUUAAUAGUGAAGUAUUUCAAAUAAUUUGUGGCCUUGCCAGAAAAAUCAAUUUGAUCUUUAACACUUUGUGCUAACCAAGGAAAACUUCCCAUCCCUGAUACAGCACAGUAGCUCUAUGAUCCAAUACAGAAUAAAACCCUACCAUAAAGCAUUAAACCAGCAUUAAAAUGAGAAUGGUUAUGAGUAAAAUCAGGUUAAAGUGCAUCAGCAUUCUAGUAUAAUUUAUGUAUUUAACUAUAUGCUCUUUGAGUGAGCAGUAAGUGUGUACUGUUCUGGAUAUUAAGCGCUGAUACUGAAAUGAAUCAGAAAACUAUUUUUCAUGUAGAAAUGUUGCUAUUUUAAGGACCAUUUAGCUUUCCAACUUCUUUGUUCUACCUUGAAAGGAGAGGAUCUGCUUAUUGUUCUAGCACAUGGUACACACUCACCAGUGCAAAAAUAAAUCUGCUGAA